CCUUAUGUGCCAAGCUCCUCCCCCAGAAUGAUUGCUACAAGUUCCCUCAUGUAGUUCUUUUAGGUCUACUAUGCUUCGGAUGGGUUUAGGGAGCGCAGAUAAGGACUUGAAAAAUGACAUCUUCUAUGAUUGCGUAUAGCGGCCUUCAUUCAGAGUUUUCUUGCUUCAAUUGGAUCUGCGGGUUACGUUCCUACCGUUAGGUAAUUUACUAUUGGCGUCAUUCACCUUACCUUCGAGUCCACUUGCAUAACUUGAGGUUCAACAGCUCCAACACUAGGGCUUUCCAAGCACUCUAGAGAUACGACUCUUUGUGAAUUCUCUCCUGAAAGUGAGGCCGAUGC
Molecule: long non-coding RNA, 341 nt
Filed under: Prunus persica (peach)
Lineage: Eukaryota; Viridiplantae; Streptophyta; Magnoliopsida; Rosales; Rosaceae
Description: long non-coding RNA (PPER_LNC002170)
Source: RNAcentral